Molecule: long non-coding RNA, 1119 nt
Organism: Tupaia belangeri chinensis (Chinese tree shrew)
Lineage: Eukaryota; Metazoa; Chordata; Mammalia; Scandentia; Tupaiidae
Exons: 3
Source: RefSeq, a predicted model, not a curated record
CCUGCCCCCUGCCCACGCUCUCAUGCCUCUGGACCUCGGGUCAUGCAGCUCUCUCUGCUGGAACUCCUCCCUCUCUUCAUCUGGAUAAUUCCUCCUUGACCUUCACCCCACCUUGGCAGGAAGCUGGGCAGCUCCUACCAGGAGCCUACACCCUGCCCUUCCAAGCCCACCGCACCUGGUCCUCGUGAAUCGUCACGUCAUCCCAGAGAAGACUGUGAAUUUUUGCCUAUGAAGAGCUCUGAACACUCGCCCCACUGUGGCCAGAUGGGAGAGUCUGAGCAGCCGGAGAUCUGGGAAACCACGAGGCUCACACCAGGAGGAUGCAGGCCGCUCAGCGCAGCACCAUGUGAACAAGGACAAAGAAGGGGACAGGAAGAGACAAUAGGGCUCUUCUGAGGGUCCCCGGGUGCCACGCCAAGGGCAGAUGAGCCCCUGUGGGCAUGGGGCAGGCCUGGGGGCUGCCCUGUGGUUAUUGACUGGGGUGAGGAGGCCCCUGAGCUUGGACAGUGGCUGGACACUCAAGCAUUUGCAGAGGACGAGCGGGCUGGUGCCUGCCUGCGCAUCGGGGCUGCAGCUGGUCUGUCCUGAGGGCAGGUGCCUUCUGGAGCAGGGCGACGGGUAUGCUCAGGAAACGGGGAGCUCCCGCAUUAGGUAGAAGCAAAGCAGAGCAGGCUCGUGCUCAAUAACCUCCACAGGAAACAUUGUUUUAAAACAGAAAAGUAAUACUGGGGUGCCGUGGCUGCUAAGGCGCUAAACCCCUUUGGGCUGACAGUGCAGUUCGAGUCCUGGACCCGGCAGCUUGAAAAGCAGCCCGGUGUUUGUGCAUGCCAAAGAUCUUGAGAGGAGAAUGGAGGAGAGGGGAUUGUGGUGUGACCAUCCCUCAGGGGGAUACCCUACAGUGAGCAAACAAAAGCCACACACGUGACGACAGCAAAUACACAGGUGGCAGCGUGUGCAGGGCUGUAAGCGCGCUGGGGAGGCUGUGACAGUAGGCGUGGGGCAUAGUGGAGGUGCGCGGGUAAGGUACUAAGCCGUUUCUGUAACGAACUUGAGCAUCCGGGGACUGGGAUGUCCUUGGGGUCCGGGGUCCAGUCCUCCUCGGACACUGAGUAAUGACUG